This is a long non-coding RNA of Corvus hawaiiensis (hawaiian crow), 7145 nucleotides long. RefSeq lists it as uncharacterized. The transcript has 4 exons. The record is from RefSeq and is a predicted model, not a curated record. NCBI's taxonomy places the organism in Eukaryota, Metazoa, Chordata, Aves, Passeriformes, Corvidae.
GUUGUGGUGCUUGUCCUCAGUGUCAUUACAUUAUUGGUGGCAGCAGUAGAGGGGACUGGAAUCGUCAGUGUUCUUUCAGUAUGCUGCCUUGCAAUGUCUUGUUCAAGGACCAGUGAAUUUGCUUGUGCCAAUGGCCUUUGUUUGCUCCUGGGCCCCCUCUGGGCUGUUCUCCACUGAUGGCAAAAGCAGCAGCCAGAGUGUCCCACAGCCAUGACAAAUGCCCUUCCAGACCAGAACCUGAGAGCAGGUUUGGGAAGAGCACUGUAUGGUGUUGGCUAAUCUGUUGUCAUAAAAGUGUUCUCUGACUGAGAUUUGGCUCUGAACCCAUUCUGGGCAUGCAGAGGCCAUCCUGAGCUUUAGAGGGCACCUGUUUGUUCGUACUUUCUGCCACACAAGGAGGAUGUAUUUUGCUCCAGUUUACUGGGGCAUGUCCUUGGAAGCUUUUUCAAGUUCUGCAUCUUCUCCAGGAAAGAAGCAUGCAAAUGUAGCUAAAAGUUCCUCUCUAAGUAAGUGUUCAUAGUUCUCUGUCAGUCUUUUCUUGUUACCUGCUGUUGGCAUACCUUGUGGCCUGGACAAGUUUUCUGCCUUAGAGGCACAUCUUUCUUCAGUACUUUUACUUCUGUUAGUUGCCUUUUGGUUUUGGAGCUGUGUAGCAGAGACCAUUUCAGUGACUUGUAGCAGUGUCAGGAGCAGAGAAAUGGGCCAAUGAGUUUCUUAUUUUCAGUACAGGAGAGCUGGGUUUGAAACUUACAAGCCAGCCUUUAUAUUGUCAGAAUCACUGUUCGCUUUCUUACCCACUUAGGGAACCAGGAACUCAUGGUUUGAAAUUUUCAGGACAGGUUUCAGUCCAAGAGUUGUGUUUACAUGUCCUUUCCAGUCAGAUGUUACAAGGUAGCGAAACGAAACCACCAAUUUAGUUUAAUUAGUGUGGAAAACCAAAACUUAGAUGAAAAAAGGCCAUUUCUGUAAGAAGUAGAGUCAGUCAGUAGAAAUGUGUAAGUACCUGAUUUAAUCAUUAGUGUGAUGCUGCUCUGUGCAUGUGUGUGCUGCUGACUCCACUGGAAUGCUGGCGAGUGCACAGGUUAACAGGUGUGAAGUCUGUCCCAAGUGUGUUCCCUUGCAGUAUGUAAUGGAGGCCACUGCUCUGCUAGUGCUCUUCUGCAUUGCACAUGGCAAGCGUGGCUGGAUGGCUGAGAAAUCCUACAGCAGUUGGGUUUAAAUGAGGCCAUGGGAAACCUCUGCAGGCUUGAAAUAAGAGACAUACUCCAGCCUGGCUCUAAGUGGGACAUCAGGCUGCUUCAUAAUGCUGGAUGGAGAAAAUCAACUACUUGGUAACUAACUUGUGUUAUCUUUGCUGUAGCUGUAGGAAUCUUUUGAAGCCAGCAAAAGUUUGGACUGGGCUGUUGGCCAUUACUCUAGAACUGCUCCAUUUCAAGACGUGAUCAUUCAGAAACACCAGAAGCUGUGGAUGGUGGACCUGCAAAAUGGGAAUGGCACUUCCUAUCUUGGCAAAGAGGUGUAAAGAUAAAUUUGUGUGUGAGGAGUGACACCCAGGUUACUGAAGACUGAGCUGAGCCAAGAACCACCCUGUCAAUGCUCCAUCUUUGUCCCACAAAAACUGGCUAUGAGUGCCAAUGCUGCUGCUCUUUGCUUUUUUCAUGAUGAACUCCGGUGCCUGUUCUGUUCAGUUGGGCCAACAUCAGUAACAGUACACUCACCAUCUCAGAUUUGAUGUCAGACCAGAAGAAACACUGCUCAUGAGCACAGUUACUACAGGAGUUUCUAGAUAGUUCUCCUCUGGGCUUUGUCAGAGAUUUGCUGAGACACUAAAGAGUUGGUUUCAGUGUAAAUGAUUCUCUGUUGCCUUAAGGAUGAGAACUAAAACAAGGCAGAGGCUUUAAUCCCAAAGCACAGCUGCUCAGCAGUAGCUGAUGGUCCUGCUCUCCCACCAUAAAAGAUACUUUAGCUUUAAGACAGGUGGCUUGCAACCCUUCAUUUAUUUUAGUGCUUGGAAAGCAGCAUGAUCUUGUAUCAAUGCCUAAAACUGAUAGGCUAAAUUUUCAAUAACUCUACUUGAAAGGUAAUGUAAAAAUCACAGCAGGCACAGACAGGAGAAUUAAUUUUGGGGUUUUAUUAUAAAAGUAAAAUAAAAAUAAGCAUUUAAAAAGCACGAUUUUUCAAAAGGAACAGAUACAAAAAAACUAUUUACAAGUAGGAAAAUGCCAAACUUGAAAAAAUUUUUGGAUAAGAGGCACCAAAGUUAAGUUUAAAUACAUUAUUUGAAAUAUACAAGAUUCUUUUCGGGUUCUCUUUUUUCUCUGAGUUGUCACUGUUGUGAUUAAAGUCAUGAUUUUUCUUUGCCAGCUACUUUAUGAGCUGGUUUCAUGCAACUGUGCUGCAACAAUUAUGAAGAGAGCAGCUAGAAACUGUAUCCUCCGAUUGUUCUAUGUGCUUAACCUCUUUAGUAAGUAAGUUUGUAUUACGCAUUACAAAUUUCUUUUUCAUCUGUAAAAGAAAAUCCUCCCAGACCAGGAAAACAGUCAGUCUUUCAUAGCGUCCAGUCCUGUGUAUUAAUGCAGCAGUGGAGCCCUGCUUAUUGUAAAUGGCUUGUAAAUGAAUACAAUUGAAGGAAGCAAUGGCUAGAAGUCACGUGCUGCAGUUGCCAUUGGUUCAGGUGGGAUUCUUCCAGUGCACUUUUGGUUGUGAGUUCACUUCCCUCUGGCCAGGAUGACGCUGAUGUAAUUUGAAAUGUGCCAUUUGUUCCUGCAACUGCAUAUUGCUAAUUGAACAUCACUACUCAGCUAUAUAAUUGCUAUGCCCUGAACUGUCAUGUCCAUAGCCCAGGGCCAUUUUGCCAAGUGUUAGUGAGGACUUGCUGUUCAGAGAGUCUGAAUAAGUGAAACUCAGCUUGCGGAAGGAGGUCUCCACACCGCUGUCACAUGUGCUUUCAGGGUCUUGAAAUCUGCUAUUACAGAGCUCACCUGAGGGACAGAGAAAAGGGAAACAUUAUCAUUUGUGUGGCUUGAGCAAGGUUGCUUUAAGAAAAGCCUAAGGAAUACAAACCAACAGGAUUAAAGCUCUUCUAUAGGAAAAUAACAUGAGGUAUUAUAAUAGGAAAAGCUGUGCUGAAUGUUUCCAGGCCACCAAAGCAUGUGAUCUGAUGUACUGCUGGCAGAGAUCAACUUGCAGCUGGAGCUUGAUGGGAUGAGAAGCCUGGUGCUCUGCUGACGCUAAUGGUGUCACUGCACUCUGGUCAGGACUCUUGUCUGGCUAUGGCAGUUGCAGGGCAGAAGGUUCUCAGAGUCACACUGUGCAAGUGUACAGCUCCAGGAUGAGGCUCCUAAAACUUUUAAUUCAUGUUAUGUCAACUUAGAGAUUUCUUUUUGAGACAAAUACUUGAAGAGUUGCAUGCAGUAAGUGACCCCAAAAUAGGAACAAGUCAGCAGCAUCUUUCACCUGUGAAGGAUCCACAGAAGGAGUGCCUGACUGGAAGAGGUCAGUAUCCGAGCUGAAGGUAUGCUGUGGGAUCAGUGUGACUAAAGCAGUGGUGGCAUCUUAGAGGUAAGUCUUGUUUAUCUAAACAAACAUCUUAAAAUAAACAAUGUGAUGCCCUCCAUUCAUGUUGCAAAGGAGCAGAACACCUCUUACCCUUCACAAUGAAUCUAAAGGGGCAAUAUGUGUACAAGCACACUUCUGGGUGGGUGUGAAGGUUUAUUCCAUGACUGACCAGUUUUCUAUAGAGAAUAAACUGGCAAUGUUAGACCAGAAUGGAGUGACUGGGACGUUUCUUUUUUCUUUCCAGAAAUAACUACAGUAUUUUUUUACAGGGUGUAAGGAUCCACAUUAGGGUACAAGCAGCACUACUGGUGUUUGAACAGGAAAAAACAAAGGUUUUUUUUACUAAACCUGGCCAGGCAAUGACUGAACAUCCCUGAUGACAAACUUCUCACAAUCUCUCUUUUUCUCUUAGUAGAGUUCCCUGCCCAAAAACACUGUAGGACCUCCAUCUGAGGAUGCUCAGAACUCAACUGGAUGUAACAUGGGAAACCUCAUGUAAUGUUCCACUGGCCCUACUCUGAGCAGGUAGUUGGCCAGCAGGACUGCUUGAGUCCUGUGUAACCUAAGCCAUCCCCAAUUUCUCUGCCUACAGAACACUGUGGAAGGAGAAAUUUAAUACCAAAGUCUUACGGAGAAGUUUAGGAGCCCAAAACAUUUUUCAUUAUCCAGUAAUGAGGGGCGAAAAAAAGUCAAAAGCUAAUGGCACUUGUACAUGCCUAGGAGGUAAUUGCCUACAUUCCCAGUACAUCACCAUUAGCAAAUGGCAGGUGUCUGGUUUUAGCAGAAGGCAGCAGUAUAAUGAAUACCAUGAUGCAGGUAUGCUGAUUCAAGUGGUCCAUUUUCCCUCUCUCUUCUAGGCCUAGCAGCUGUCUGUGAUGAGAGGGGUCAUGCUGCCAUAAAAUAUUUCUGAAACCAGUAAGCAGGUGAAGCAGUGUGUGCAAGAAGGUGAGCGAUGAUGAUGAGGGAAGAGCUUUUGCUGUACUGUCCUCCAGGGGAGAAAGUCUGCGUGAGCUGGAUAGUGCUUCCUGAAUUACUUCUAUGGCUUCUGUGUGAUCCAUCUGUCUCAAAGCAGUGAUGAGCUCCUGAACUGUACCACCAGAAACCUGCAAGAGCAGACAUCAGAUGCUCAGCAUCAUCCAGGCUGGCUAAAACUGCAGGGCUGCACUGUCUCACCGUGCAGGAGGACAAGGUUCUCUGCAUGUCUGAAUGUUCUUUGUAACUUGUUAUAGCACAUUACCUCAUAGUUAUCCAGCAGAGUUUUCGAUGGGGAAGGACUCAACCUGAAGGCAUUAUUAAGUAUGCCAAGACCCAGUUUUUGUGCUAGGGUGGACCAGUUUUUGGUCGGAUCAGGCAAUUCCAAUAGCUUGUAAAGCUGCAUCUUGGAACUCUCACUCAGCUCUCUCAAAUGUCCUGGGGAACAGAGAAAUAUAUUAAUUUAUUAUUUAUACAAAUCAUGCACCAAUUCAUUUUAAAGCAGAAACAAAGCCAAACUGAAGACUGUUUCAGAGUCCAAUCCCAGCAUUUACAAAUGUCUUGCUGCAAUACUGAAAAUGUACUCCAUGUCCUUGAGACCUCUUAAGGGAAUCAUGCUCAUUCUGUGAGUGAGGGGGUGGGAGGGCACCUCUUCUCUCUCACGAGCUCAGUUACAAGCCAUUGCAGGACAAUGUCUUCUCACCACUACAGUUUCAGUACUCAAUUACUAGAGGGAUAUUGUCAAUUCUUUAUAGGUGUUACCUUGUGUCAGUAAGUCCUCCAAAACCUCUGCUGACUCGUAGGGUUUGCCAUUCAAUAUGUCAUACACCUAAGAGAAUACGUUAAAGUCAGUAUUUAGCAGAAACCUGGUUAGUGUCCUUUAAGUCUCAGCAGUGUGGUAUAAAGCCCUAAUUCCAUCUGUAAAUCAGCAUUUUUUUCCUCUCCCAGGUUCAGUAUGACUCAGGAUACUGUAGAAAACCUGUGCUAAACUUUAGCGAAAAAUCUUGAGAAGUUAAUCUCCCUUUACCUUAAGCUGUGUCACCUGGCAACUAUUUUCAAGACACAGAGGAAGCCUUGGCAGUAAAUAAAUGGCAGAAGCAGUGGCUAAGCAAGGAGUUGCUGCCUGUCUGCAACUAGUCAUUUAAAAUGAAGCCUGGGUUAGAUUUUCACCUAAGGCUGGUACCACUCCCCAGCUCCAGAUGAUUAGAGAUGCUGACUGCUUGUCCUUUACACUCACACCAAACCAAAUGCACAGUAAUCAGCUUAAUCACUGUUGGGGGAGAACACAGGAGUGCAUCUUCCCAUCACACACAGGCUGCAAUUCUGAAGAACACUCAGCAAAGAAACCCACUGGAGAGUGAGCCUUCAAACACAAGCUGCCCACCCAGCUAAAUACUUUCCCACACUGAAGACUGUACUGCAACUACUUGAAGAACUGCUUGGUCAUUUCUGUUCAGCAGCAUUACUCUGUAGCUUUCUUCCAGUGCUGUUUCAUCAGAGGAGUUUUAUGGCUGAAUUAGCCUAAUUUUUGAUGGCAAAUUAGUUGAAUUAAUUGAAAUAAUUGUGGAUGCAGUGAAAGGAGCUGGCUGAGAGAGCUGAGCUGUCCUUUAUAAUUAGAAAAAAACCAACAAAAAACUGAAAGAAAAAACAGACCACAUACCUCACAAUUGGCUGCCAUAUCCAGUGGUGUUGUUCCAGGCACAAUCCCUUCAUCAUCUUGAUCAUCUUUCACAUCAUCUAGAUCAAACAAUGGCUCAAAGUUCUCAAUGUGAGGAUUUGCACCUGAAGAACAAGUGGGGGGUGGGGGGGGGAAAUCAAAGAAAGGGCUUCAAGUUGCUUCUCAACGAUAUUUAAAAUAGGCAUUCUAUGUACUGAAUGGCAAAUCAGCUAAUUUAGCUAUUCCAGCUAAAUGAUAUUUGAUACUAAGCUAGCAAGUAGCACUGUUUAUCAAUUACAUUUAAAUGCUGUCACAUCUCUGUAUAAUGCUACUCUCCAUUAUAAAAAGGGGGGGAAAAUGACAAGCAGAGCAUUAGGGUGCAAAGAAAGAGCUCUGGUUGUAUCAACUGACUUCCAGUCCCAUCCUGCCUCACACAGCACAGCACGAAUGUGAUGAGGUGAUGGUGUGGUGCUGCUUUUUAGUGUCAGAGAAAGUGGGGGUGUUUUUAAAAGACCAAGCAGACAGCCUCAGCAAUGGGAGGCUUGGGCUUCCAUUUCAAAUGAGAAAAAUCAGGUUUAAAUACAAUUGACAAAGUUCCAACAAAUACUCCAACCUAAUUCUUCCACAGUGACAGCAAAUAGGAGACACUUACAAGCUCAUGCUUCAGUGAUGGGGUGUUUUUUUGGCUUUUUUGUUUCUAAAGCAGUCCAACACUUAUCCCAGAUAUAUAUAAAAGUCUCUUCUCCACUUCUUCAGCUAUAAAAGCUACAAAAGAAUCAAAGAACUUCCCAAAGUCCUCCAGAGAUUUUUUUGGACCAACAUAAUUUGCCUUUCUAGCCAUUAGAUGGUGCUGAAGAGUGAUUAGUAUAGCAUCUCAGAGCAGGACUUUCUGAGGAAAUUCAGACCUUCGUGCUUUUAACAUCUGACUUCCUCCAUCCAUUAAACAAGUUCACUGGCA